CCUGGCUCACGACGAACGCUGGCGGCGCGCCUAACACAUGCAAGUCGAACGAGCGAGAGAGAGCUUGCUUUCUCGAGCGAGUGGCGAACGGGUGAGUAACGCGUGAGGAACCUGCCUCAAAGAGGGGGACAACAGUUGGAAACGACUGCUAAUACCGCAUAAGCCCACGGGUCGGCAUCGACCAGAGGGAAAAGGAGCAAUCCGCUUUGAGAUGGCCUCGCGUCUGAUUAGCUAGUUGGUGAGGUAACGGCCCACCAAGGCGACGAUCGGUAGCCGGACUGAGAGGUUGAACGGCCACAUUGGGACUGAGACACGGCCCAGACUCCUACGGGAGGCAGCAGUGGGGAAUAUUGCACAAUGGGGGAAACCCUGAUGCAGCGACGCCGCGUGGAGGAAGAAGGUCUUCGGAUUGUAAACUCCUGUUGUUGGGGAAGAUAAUGACGGUACCCAACAAGGAAGUGACGGCUAACUACGUGCCAGCAGCCGCGGUAAAACGUAGGUCACAAGCGUUGUCCGGAAUUACUGGGUGUAAAGGGAGCGCAGGCGGGAAGACAAGUUGGAAGUGAAAUCUAUGGGCUCAACCCAUAAACUGCUUUCAAAACUGUUUUUCUUGAGUAGUGCAGAGGUAGGCGGAAUUCCCGGUGUAGCGGUGGAAUGCGUAGAUAUCGGGAGGAACACCAGUGGCGAAGGCGGCCUACUGGGCACCAACUGACGCUGAGGCUCGAAAGUGUGGGUAGCAAACAGGAUUAGAUACCCUGGUAGUCCACACCGUAAACGAUGAUUACUAGGUGUUGGAGGAUUGACCCCUUCAGUGCCGCAGUUAACACAAUAAGUAAUCCACCUGGGGAGUACGACCGCAAGGUUGAAACUCAAAGGAAUUGACGGGGGCCCGCACAAGCAGUGGAGUAUGUGGUUUAAUUCGACGCAACGCGAAGAACCUUACCAAGUCUUGACAUCCCUUGACGAUGCUGGAAACAGUAUUUCUCUUCGGAGCAAGGAGACAGGUGGUGCAUGGUUGUCGUCAGCUCGUGUCGUGAGAUGUUGGGUUAAGUCCCGCAACGAGCGCAACCCUUAUGGUCAGUUACUACGCAAGAGGACUCUGGCCAGACUGCCGUUGACAAAACGGAGGAAGGUGGGGAUGACGUCAAAUCAUCAUGCCCUUUAUGACUUGGGCUACACACGUACUACAAUGGCGUUAAACAAAGAGAAGCAAGACCGCGAGGUGGAGCAAAACUCAGAAACAACGUCCCAGUUCGGACUGCAGGCUGCAACUCGCCUGCACGAAGUCGGAAUUGCUAGUAAUCGUGGAUCAGCAUGCCACGGUGAAUACGUUCCCGGGCCUUGCACACACCGC
This 1354-nucleotide ribosomal RNA is filed under the name uncultured bacterium. RNAcentral describes it as "bacterial SSU rRNA". It matches the Rfam family "Bacterial small subunit ribosomal RNA", at positions 18 to 1393 of the family's 1533-position model. The record is from RNAcentral.